Molecule: ribosomal RNA, 253 nt
Filed under: uncultured bacterium
Lineage: Bacteria
Description: partial 16S ribosomal RNA
Rfam family: Bacterial small subunit ribosomal RNA
Source: RNAcentral
UACGUAGGGUGCAAGCGUUAAUCGGAAUUACUGGGCGUAAAGCGUGCGCAGGCGGCUAUGCAAGACAGGUGUGAAAUCCCCGGGCUUAACCUGGGAACUGCACUUGUGACUGCACAGCUGGAGUACGGCAGAGGGGGAUGGAAUUCCGCGUGUAGCAGUGAAAUGCGUAGAUAUGCGGAGGAACACCGAUGGCGAAGGCAGUCCCCUGGGCCUGUACUGACGCUCAUGCACGAAAGCGUGGGGAGCAAACAGG